GGAGAUCGCCUGUUUUAACAAAAACAUUGUUUUUAGAAAAUACAAUUAAAAAUAAUUCCUGCCCAGUGACUUGUUAAACGGCCGCAGUAAAUAGUGCAAAGGUAGCAUAAUCAGUUGUUCUUUAAUUGAGGACUAGAAUGAAUGGAUAAAUAAAGAUUAACCUAUAACAAAUUUACCAAUAUAAAUUUACCUUUAGAUGAAAAGGUCUAAAUAAAAAUAAAAGACCAGAAGACCCUAUCGAGCUUCAUUUUUUUAUAACAAUAAAUUUAAUGUUAAACUUAAAAUUUGGUUGGGGCAACCUAGGAACUCUCAUCCUAUAAACACAAAGAGAUAUACCUUACACCUUACUUAUUAUAAUUAUAAGCUACCGUAGGGAUAACAGGCUAAUUUUAUUUUAUAGUACAAAUAUACAAUAAAGAUUGGCACCUCGAUGUUGGCUUAAGAUACCUCUAAAACGGAGAAGUUUUAAAAGUAGGCUUGUUCAGCCUUUAAAAUCUUACGUGAUCUGAGUUCCAGACCGGAGA
This 524-nucleotide ribosomal RNA is filed under the name Parougia diapason. RNAcentral's name for it is "partial 16S ribosomal RNA". It matches the Rfam family "Bacterial large subunit ribosomal RNA", at positions 1783 to 2622 of the family's 2925-position model. Lineage: Eukaryota; Metazoa; Annelida; Polychaeta; Eunicida; Dorvilleidae. The record is from RNAcentral.